UGGGCACCCUUCACCUUUAGAUUGGCCUUUUGGGGUAUCCCCCGGUCCAGUGUUCUCCUUGGUUCCUGGCCUCUGGACUCAACUGGAUUCAAACUACCCACUCGACAUGGCAGGGUUUCUCUGUGUAGCUCUUACUAUCUUGGAACUGGCUCGGUAGCCCAGGCUAGCCUCCAACUCAUCAUGUAGCCAGAGGCUGGAUUGAAACUCUCAACCUUCCUCCACUUCCCAAAUGGUAGGAUGUUGGGGCUGCACCAGCACACCCAGCUCUUUUUACCUCCUACUGAAACUCAAGUCUAAUAAAUUCUCAGGUGCUUAUGGGUGAUGUGCCAGACCGUGGGGGGCGCCCAAGCGAGCUGGAGGCUCCCAUGCCUACCUGGAAGAGCCGAAGAGAGGAUGGAGGAAGGGGGAAAGCUGGCCAGCAGCGCUGGGGCCGCAGAAAGAAGAAGAAGUAAAGGGCCUUCCAGGGUCGGUUGCAGGUUCUGUUGGGUGCUGACGCCGCUGUCAAUCCUUGGGGGGGCCACUGAGGGUUGUCUUUGGCAAGCCUUGUCUUCCCUGUCCCGCAGGUCCUAAAUGCCCUACACCCAGCCACCACUCCACACCAUGAACCAUGAACUACGAACUGUGUUGUGUGAAAAAUAAAUUUAAUUCUUUUGAUUGUUA
RNAcentral lists this long non-coding RNA (660 nucleotides) under Rattus norvegicus (Norway rat). Its description in RNAcentral is "long non-coding RNA NONRATT002493". Lineage: Eukaryota; Metazoa; Chordata; Mammalia; Rodentia; Muridae. The record is from RNAcentral.